Erinaceus europaeus (western European hedgehog) is the source of this 539-nucleotide long non-coding RNA. RefSeq lists it as uncharacterized. The record is from RefSeq and is a predicted model, not a curated record. The transcript is spliced from 2 exons. NCBI's taxonomy places the organism in Eukaryota, Metazoa, Chordata, Mammalia, Eulipotyphla, Erinaceidae.
GAGACAGGAGGGGAAAACAGAGAGGGGGAGAGAAAGACAGACACCUACAGACCUGCUUCACCGCUUGUAUAGUGACUCCUCUGGACGUGGGGAGCCCUGGGCUGUAACCAGGAUCCUUAUGCCGGCCAUGCGCUUUGUGCCACUUGCGCUUAACCCGCUAUGUGUCUGUGUCAGGUGUCUGUCUGUCUGUCUGUUGUUUUUUUUUUAAAGAUUUUAUUUAUUUGUUUGUUUGUUUAUUUAUUUAUGAGAAAGAUAGGAGGAGGAGGAUCACUCUGGCACAUGUGCUGCCGGGGAUCGAACUCAGGACCUCAUGCUUUAAAGUCCAAAGCUUUAUCACUUCACCACCUCCCAGACCACAGGUCAUUUCUUAAAUACUGCUUUGUAUCCUAUAUUGUUCCCCCCUUUUUUUCUUGGUGAUUGUUUUUUAGUGGCACCAGGUCAAUAUAUAUAUAAUUUUUUUAACUACAUGUACACAUAUACACACAUACGCAUGCACACACUCUAACCCACCAUCAGUGGAGUCUCCCCUGGUGCCUUCU